This 255-nucleotide ribosomal RNA is filed under the name uncultured bacterium. Its description in RNAcentral is "partial 16S ribosomal RNA". It matches the Rfam family "Bacterial small subunit ribosomal RNA", at positions 524 to 777 of the family's 1533-position model. The record is from RNAcentral.
UACGGAGGGUGCAAGCGUUGUCCGGAAUCACUGGGCGUAAAGGGCGCGUAGGCGGCUCAUGAAGGCUGUGGUAAAAGUCCGGGGCUCAACCUCGGAUCGGCCGUGGCGACUCGUGGGCUGGAGCACUGUAGAGGCGGGUGGAAUUCCGGGUGUAGCGGUGGAAUGCGUAGAGAUCGGGAGGAACAUCAGUGGCGAAGGCGGCCAUCUGGGACAACACUGACGCUGAAGCACGAAAGCGUGGGGGAGCGAACAGGG